This 494-nucleotide ribosomal RNA is filed under the name uncultured bacterium. Its description in RNAcentral is "partial 16S ribosomal RNA". It matches the Rfam family "Bacterial small subunit ribosomal RNA", at positions 28 to 507 of the family's 1533-position model. The record is from RNAcentral.
GACGAACGCUGGCGGCGUGCUUAACACAUGCAAGUCGAACGGUGAAGCGCCUUCCUUUUUGGUGGGUGUGGAUGAGUGGCGAACGGGUGAGUAACACGUGAGUAACCUGCCCCCUUCUUCUGGAUAACCGCAUGAAAGUGUGGCUAAUACGGGAUAUUCUGGGUCUGUCGCAUGAUGGGUCUGGGAAAGUUAUUGUUUCGGUGGGGGAUGGGCUCGCGGCCUAUCAGCUUGUUGGUGGGGUGAUGGCCUACCAAGGCGGUGACGGGUAGCCGGCCUGAGAGGGUGGACGGUCACACUGGGACUGAGGCACGGCCCAGACUCCUACGGGAGGCAGCAGUGAGGAAUAUUGCACAAUGGGCGCAAGACUGAUGCAGCGACGCCGCGUGAGGGAUGGAGGCCUUCGGGUUGUGAACCUCUUUCGCUAGUGAAGCAGGCCUGCCUCGUUUGUGGGUGGGUUGACGGUAGCUGGAUAAGAAGCGCCGGCUAACUACGUG